This 28-nucleotide non-coding RNA is filed under the name Mus musculus (house mouse). The record is from RNAcentral. Lineage: Eukaryota; Metazoa; Chordata; Mammalia; Rodentia; Muridae.
UGAUCCCUCUGGUUUGUGGCUAUUAGAC